Oryza glaberrima (African rice) is the source of this 209-nucleotide non-coding RNA. Lineage: Eukaryota; Viridiplantae; Streptophyta; Magnoliopsida; Poales; Poaceae. The record is from Rfam.
UUUAAGUGUAACUGUGAGUUUCCAUAUCUAAUUUUGAUCGUCCGUAUUAUUUGAAUUUUUUUUAUGAUUAGUAUUUUUGUUGUUAUUAGAUGAUAAAAUAUGAAUAAUAGUUUAUGCGUGACUUAUGUUUUUAAAGUUUUUCAAAAAAUUCUCAAAUAAGACGGACGGACGAUCAAAGCUGAGCACGGGAAAUCAUGGCUGCACUUAAA